UGUUAGAACAAAUCAUCUUAUCGUUGUAAUCUCAACCUCUUCCUUUAUCUCCUAUUGUAUUCAAACUCUUGUACUCAUCCUUGUACGCCAAGGCAAGUCCUUCGGCCCUAUCAAUAUAUAUACGCACGCGGCUCCCCUCGUGGGAGUAGGAACGCUUCAUACUUUUACAUGGUCAUCAGAGCCCCUCUUUCAUACAUCUAGCCACAAACCAGAAACAAAACUCUAGAUCAUACCCGCGAUCGCCGUCAUGGCCUCCUCAGCCGGUGUCACCCUGAACCUUGGUUCACCUCCAUCAGAAAAGCUUGCGAGAGGGAAUUUCAUCCUCUGGAAGACGCAAGUUCUCCCAGCCCUGCGAGGAGCGCAGGUUACUGGGCUUCUGGACAACUCCGACGCCGCUCUGCCCAAGACGGUGGAGGUCACAAAGGCGGACAAAACCACGGCCCAAGAGCCGAAUCCUCUGUAUGGAACUUGGAUCGCCAAAGAUCAACAGAUUCUGCCAUAUCUACUCAACUCCAUGUCUCCUGAGAUCCUUGCGCAGGUCGUCGGGAGGGACUCCACCUUCGAGCUCUGGACAACAAUCAACAACCUCUUCGCCUCACAAUCGCAGUCUCGGAUCACCAACCUAAGGAUUGCGAUCACCAACACCAAGAAAGGCACUAUGUCUAGUUCAGCAUACAUGGCGAAGAUGAAGAGCCACGGGGAUGAACUAGCUGCUGCUGGCCGCCCCGUCUCUGAUCCGGAGAUGGUGGACUACAUACUUGCAGGAUUGGACCGCGACUACGACUCCAUGGUGGCGGCGAUCGGCGCUGCCAAGAACAGCAUCACCGCCGAUGAUCUCUUUGCUCAGAUCUAUGCCUUUGAUCAAAGGAUGGAGAUGUUGGGCGACUCGUCUUCAGGCGGGUUUCAUACAUCCGCUAAUGCAGUCUACAGAGGCCGUGGCUCGUCCCGCAACAGAUCCUGUCGCGGGCGAGGAGGAAGGGGGCGCGUCCGUAGUGGUGACCGCGGUGACCGUGGUGAUCGCUAGCCUUCUCCUCCAAUGGCAGCGGCGGCUUCAGAGGACGCCCUCGGCAACAGCAACAACAGCAGGUGCGUGAGCAGCAUGACUUCCCAGAGUGUCAGAUAUGUCUCAAGCAUCAUCCAGGGGGUGCAUGCGUCUGCUAGUGGCGCUACGAAGAGAAUGAUCAAGAAGAAAAGGAGGCGCAUGCAGUCUCCUAUGGAGUUGACACGAAUUGGUAUGCCGACAGUGCAGCAACAAAUCAUAUCACGGGUGAACUUGACAAGUUAACCAUGCGGGAGAAGUACAACGGAGGUGACCAAAUUCGCACGGCAAGCGGUUCUGGUAUGAAUAUUACACAUAUUGGUAGUUCAAUCGUUAAAAACCCCAUGAAAAAUUUGCACUUGAAAGAUGUCUUGCAUGUUCCAUAAACUUCCAAAAAUCUUGUUUCCGUUCAUCGUUUCACUCUUGAUAACAAUGUUCUCAUAGAAUUAUAUCCUUAUUUUUUCUUGGUUAAGGACUUGGCAACAAGGAGAAUAAUUCUUAGAGGACGGUGCGUGGGAGGUCUCUACCCACUCAUAUUAUCAUCAUCUUCAUGGUCAGAUAAACAAGCAAAUAUUGUCACCAAGCCUUCUUCAUCAAGGUGGCACAGUCGUUUGGGUCAUCCAUCUUCAGUCAUAGUUAAAUAUAUUCUUAGCAAAAAUAAACUCUCUUAUGAGCCUAGUCUUAGUGUUGAGUCAAUUUGUGAUCCGUGUCAACAAGCUAAAAGUCAUCAAUUGCCUUACCCUAUUUCUAUUAGUGUAUCUACUUCUCCAUUACAACUCAACUUCUCAGAUGUAUGGGGACCAACCCCUACUUCAGUUGGGAGAUUUUCCUACAAUGUAAGCUUCAUUGAUGAUCAUAGUAAAUUUACUUGGAUUUAUUUUGUUGAAAAAAAGAACCGAUGUAUUCCAAGUCUUUAUCAAUUUUCAAAACCUUGUUGAAUGCAAACUGAACUCCAAAAUCAUUGCUAUGCAAACCGACUGGGGUGGUGAGUAUGAGAAGUUGAACUCUUUUUUUCAAAAGCUUGGCAUCUCACAUCAUGUCUCUUGUCCUCAUGCUCACCAACAGAAUGGCUCUGCUGAGAGAAAACAUCGUCACAUUGUUGAUAUGGGACUAGCACUGCUAGCAAAUGCAUCCAUGCCACUUAAGUUCUGGGAUGAAGCCUUUUUAACUGCCACAUACCUCAUCAAUUUGCUUCCAAGCAAAGUUAUCAAACUUGACACACCUAUUACACGUCUCCUUGGUGUUACACCCAACUACACAUCACUCCGUGUUUUUGGGUGCGCAUGUUGGCCCAAUCUCAGACCCUACAACACACGAAAACUUGCUUUCCGCUCUAAAAGAUGUGUCUUCUUAGGCUAUAGCCCUAUGCAUAAAGGGGUUAGAUGUCUUGAUGUUCCUACUCGUAGGGUCUACAUAUCUAGAGAUGUUGUUUUUGAUGAGUCUGUGUUCCCUUUUGCAUCACUUCAUCUCAAUGUCGGUGCCCUCCUUCGCAAAGAAAUUCUUCUUCUUCCUACGCAUCUUCAGACUUUUGAUCGUGGGGGCGAUGAUUGUACUAACCAAUGUGAUGAUAUUCCUACUAGUACUGCUCCUACUCUUAUGCCUGUGCAGGUCCCUAGAGAAAACAGAGCUCAAAAUGAUCAAAAUCUCGAAAAUCCAGCUCAAAAUGAUCUUAUAUUUCAUGUUGAAGAAGGAGACGAGCCGGACACGGACAACGAGGACGACCCGGCAGCGCCUGGUACGCCUGCACGCGCGCAGUCCUUGGAUCGCGCGAUCGAAUCCCCCUUGGAUCGCGCUCCCACCAGCAGCGGCUUCGGCUCCCGGUCCAGCCAAUCCCGUGGUGCCGCAUCGUCGACAGGUGGGGACAGCAGCGGGACCGCAUCUUCCUCGCCCCGCGUGAGCAUGCAGCCGCUGUCGGGCUGCGGAUCCGCUGUGCCGCGCCGCGCGGUUACUUCCCGUGUGCCUGCAGGAGCGGCGGCCACACCGGUGGCCACAUGAUCUCCUGUGCUGACUGCGCCAGAUUCUUCUGCAUCAGCGCCUGAUUCUCCCGGAUCGGCUGUGGCAAGUGCACCUGCGGUUCAAUCUAUGGCUUCUCCAAGAGUCAAGACUAGACUACAAAAAGGUAUACGAAAUCCAAAGAUAAGAACGGAUGGAACUAUACCAUAUGGCAUGUUGUGUAUUUCAGGAGAGCCAACAACUGUGAGUAGUGCACUUGAUGAUCCCAAGUGGAAGAAGGCAAUGGAUGAGGAAUAUUCUGCACUAAUGAGAAACAAACUUGGCAUCUUGUACCAAACCAGAAAGGUAAAAAUAUAAUUGAUUGCAAAUGGGUAUACAGAAUCAAAAAGAAGGCAGAUGGCUCCAUUGACAGGUAUAAGGCACGUUUGGUUGCAAAGGGCUUCAAGCAACGUUAUGGCAUUGAUUAUGAGGACACCUUUAGUCCCAUUGUGAAAGCUGCAACUAUCAGACUUGUGCUAGCUAUUGCUGUUUCCAGAGGAUGGAGCCUAAGACAGUUAGAUGUACAGAAUGCAUUUUUGCAUGGUGUUCUGGAAGAGGAAGUGUUCAUGAGACAGCCACCUGGGUAUGAAAGUAAGAAAUUUCCACAUUUUGUUUGCAAGCUUGAUAAAGCACUCUAUGGCUUGAAACAAGCACCUAGUGCAUGGUAUUCCAGACUGAGCUUACAAUUGAAAUUUCUUGGCUUCAUUGCUUCAAAGGCUGAUACAUCCUUGUUUAUUUAUAACAAUGCAGGAGUGGUUAUUUUCUUGCUUAUAUAUGUUGAUGAUAUCAUAGUUGCAAGUUCUUCACAAAAUGCCACUAAUGCUCUUCUGCAUGACUUAAGUUCAGAGUUUGUCUUAAAGGACCUAGGUGAUUUGCACUUCUUUCUAGGUAUUGAAGUCAAGAAAACUCAAGAUGGCAUUAUGUUAAAACAGGAGAAAUACAUCACUGAACUUCUGUCUCGUAUGGGAAUGAAAAAUUGUAAGCCAGUACCUACACCCUUGUCUUCUUCAGAAAAACUUUCAGCAUAUGAAGGAGAGCCACUUCAAGAGGAAGAAAGUACAAGGUAUAGGAGUACCGUGGGAGCAUUGCAAUAUUUAACUCUCACACGUCCGGAUAUCUCAUUUGCUGUCAACAAGGUUUGUCAAUAUCUACAUGCACCUACUUCUGCACAUUGGACAGCCGUCAAGAGGAUUGUAAGAUAUGUAAAGCAUACUAUGGGAAUAGGACUUCAUUUCAAAAGUUCUAAUUCCACUCUUGUGAGCGCAUUCUCUUAUGCUGACUGGGCAGGAUGUAGUGAUGACAGAAGAUCAAUUGGAGGUUUUGCAAUAUUCUUUGAUUCCAAUCUUAUUUCUUGGAGUGCCAGAAAACAAGCCACCGUGCCACGUUGAAGCACAGAGGCUGAGUAUAAAUCCUUGGCUAAUGCAACUGCUGAAGUUAUUUGGGUUGAAUUACUUCUUGAAGUGUUGGGAGUCAAAAAUAAUCGUAUCUCAUGCUUAUGGUGUGAUAAUUUGGAUGCAACAUACUUGUCUGCAAACCCAGUAUUCCAUGCAAGGACAAAGCACAUAGAAAUUGAUUUUCACUUUGUGCGAGAGAGGGUUGCCGCAAAAAAACUUGAGAUACGGUUUAUUCCCUCCAAGGAUCAAGUGGCGGAUGGUUUCACCAAGGCACUACCAACACGAUCAUUUGAUGAGUUCAAGAGCAAUCUUAAUUUAGGAUAGUUGAGAUUAAGGGAGGGUGUUAGAACAAAUCAUCUUAUCGUUGUAAUCUCAACCUCUUUCUAUAUCUCCUAUUGUAUUCAAACUCUUGUACUCAUCCUUGUACGCCAAGACAAGUCCUUUGGCCCUAUCAAUAUAUAUACGCACACGGCUCCCCUCGUGGGAGUAGGAACGCUUCAUACUUUUACAGACAGGAGCAUGAGGUGCCCGGCGGCUGCCAUGGUUGUUGGCAAGCAGGAUCGAGAGAGAAGUCACCACAGUUGACAGUAGUGUCCGGCCGGGGAAGGAGCUUGAGAAGAACGGAUCGUCCAGGGGCUCGAUCGAUUUAUAUAAUCGCCCUCACCAUUGGAUCAGGACGCCACGGGUGCUUUGGCGUACCA
This 5126-nucleotide long non-coding RNA is filed under the name Triticum aestivum (bread wheat). Its description in RNAcentral is "long non-coding RNA (TAES_LNC010884)". The record is from RNAcentral. Lineage: Eukaryota; Viridiplantae; Streptophyta; Magnoliopsida; Poales; Poaceae.